RNAcentral lists this ribosomal RNA (433 nucleotides) under uncultured bacterium. RNAcentral describes it as "partial 16S ribosomal RNA". It matches the Rfam family "Bacterial small subunit ribosomal RNA", at positions 29 to 507 of the family's 1533-position model. The record is from RNAcentral.
AACGAACGCUGGCGGCAUGCCUAACACAUGCAAGUCGAACGAGACCUUCGGGUCUAGUGGCGCACGGGUGCGUAACGCGUGGGAACCUGCCCUUAGGUUCGGAAUAACUCCCCGAAAGGGGUGCUAAUACCGGAUAAUGUCUUCGGACCAAAGAUUUAUCGCCUUUGGAUGGGCCCGCGUUGGAUUAGCUAGUUGGUAGGGUAAAAGCCUACCAAGGCGACGAUCCAUAGCUGGUCUGAGAGGAUGAUCAGCCACACUGGGACUGAGACACGGCCCAGACUCCUACGGGAGGCAGCAGUGGGGAAUAUUAGACAAUGGGCGAAAGCCUGAUCCAGCCAUGCCGCGUGAGUGAUGAAGGCCUUAGGGUUGUAAAGCUCUUUUACCCGGGAUGAUAAUGACAGUACCGGGAGAAUAAGCCCCGGCUAACUCCGUG